UACUUUGUUUAUCACACCAAAGUUGAUUUCGACCGAGCUUCUGAGACCGGAAUUUCCAAUAGGAUGGCUUCGUUCUCGUUCCAAGAUGGUGACUUUGAAGACUUGAAGAAACUCUGCUGCGCUAUAGCUGAUGGCCUUGUUACCUAAGCCUGCACCGUAUGCAAGCAUCAACAAUGUGUGCAGCGGUUCAUUAUGUAAAAUCACCCAGAAUGUUACUGCAACUAUAAACAUAUCGUGUAUCAUGCUCUCCCAUUCCCCGUGUUUAGCGUGUUAUGCCUAAAUACUAUGAAACAUAUGUCUCAAGACAUCCGGGUUGAUGAAUAAAGCUUGCUGUUCUCCUCAUGAAUCAAUCUCUGAAUAUUUGCAAGGAUUGUGCAAUGAUAUUUCAGCUACUACAUUUGCAGUUUACAGAAUCAACUUUGCAGUCUGUGAGACAUUGAAUUACUUCAGAACUGAACCUGUGAUAUAGCAGAUGACUUGGUUUGUUUCAUGUGGUUUGCUUCAGAAGGCACAUGCCCUUGAUCUGAUAGCUUUGUUGCAGAAACAGUUUUUACGUGGAUGUGUUAUAAAUUUAUAUAGCUUGCAGUUGUUACUGGGAGUUCAAAGAUUGUAUGUAGAGAAGGAAAUCUGUUGCAGUUAUAAGUUGUGCAUCGACGUUAAGAUGGAUCUUAUCACUCAUUGCAUCGGCCGCAACAUCCUGAGGCAGCAUCAGAUUCAGCAGGGUUUGUUGCAUGAUGGAAAAGAAAAAAAAACAGAAAAUUGUGUAUGGUUGCAGCCGGUUUUCAUCUCGAUCCUAUGUAUGGUUGCAGCCGGUUUUCAUUUCAUGGCAGUUUGGACAGUAAGCCAGUUUCUUGUGUGUGAUGGUGGCAGUUUUGGACCAAAAAAAUCCCUAGAUUUAAAUGAAUUGCCAUGGCAGUUUUAAAAAAUGCCCCCUACCCCCUGGCGUCCUUUUUUUAAUGGCUUUAGAAGUCCAAUUGAGUCCAAACACAAUCAACUUAAAUAACUUGGAUUUUUAUGAAAUAACUACUGACCAAUAUUUUAUAUUUUUGAUAAUGGUGUUAGUUCGUUCUUGAAGAAUAUUCAAAUAAGGUUACAGACAAAUUUAAACAAGCCCAUAAUAAGUUUUAAUACCUUCGAAAAUACAACCACAAACAAGGGAAAUCAACUAUAUUUAUUGAUUGGCUAAUUUAUUCAACAUUCCAAAUUUCGAAAUAUUUGGAUGUUACAGACGGCUCGCCUUAAGAUCUUAUUGCACGUUGCUUCACAUCCUGAAGCAACUUGAGGCAGAAUCAGCAUGGAAAGAAGCAGGCGCAGUAACUAAGUUCAGGAUAUUGAUGGUCCGUGUCACACUCCGCAUACGGGUAACCCUCAUGUUCGCAGUCCUCUGUGCAUUGGUCACCCUUGCAUUGCGAAGUAGGGUACGUCUGGCUUAACCGCCUGCAGUGGCCUUCAGAUCCUGCUGUAAAAUAUGGGCAACAUUUGAAUAACAACAUUAGAAAACAAAACACUGAGAAACUAUUAUAUUAUUCAGAUAAUUAUUCCAGGCAAGGCUUACCAGGAAGCAAGAGGAGUGACAUGAGCAAAAUUAAGCACAAGCUUGCCAUCUUGACCUUGUCGACCUCCAUAUCUCCAGGAAUAAACACCCAAGCAAAGAAGGAUGGAAUUCCAAAUAGGUUAACUUAGUAGUGCACCACUGAUCCCUUCUUAUAGAGAUGGAUGAUGGAACCUUACAAUAAACCAAACAGAAAAGGUUGUAUAUAUCUGGAUGAUGCAAUGAUGUGUUGUGUAAAUUGAAAAGACACUAUAGGUUGUUGUGGGUUGGUGUGUGCGCGCUCGCACGCGUGCGUGGAAUGGUGCCUUUGUUGCUUAGGUGGAACCCUAAAAAACAGAAAUUGUCAUAUUUAUCUGGAUGAUGCAUGGUAUAUAUCCAGAAGAUGCAACGAUACAUUGUACAUUGAAGAAAAGACAUUCUCAGGGGUGAUAAAAGACACCCUAGGUAGUUGAUACAUGUGUGUGUGUGUGUUGGUGUGAGGUAUUGCCUGAUGUUUGUACUGCUCAAAAUGGUGCAUUUGUUGGUUAGACAGAACCCUACAAAAGGCAAACAGAAAAUGUCAUUAUAUGGAUGAUGCAAUUGUAUAUAUCCGAAUGAUGCAGCAAUGUGUCACACACUGGAAAAAGACACCGAGACAUGAUAAAAAGGCACCCCGGGUUAGUUGAUACAUGCAUGUCUUUUAUGUGAGGUAUGUCAUGAUAUUUGUAUCGCUCAAAAUGGUGCCUUUGGAUCUUAGCAGUAGGAAAAAAACACCCAGCGUAUCACGCAUUGGAUUAGGAAAUAAUGUUGCUGGGGUAAUUGCACUUGUCGAUGUAGUAAGUGAAGCAUGCUUGGCUUUGCACGAGAACAAUAUUGUGCACAGCCUAAUGAUGUCCAACCACGGCAGAAAUGUUUUCUUAUUCCCCAGGUGAAACUCGCUAAUACAUUGUGUUCCAUCUCUAAAUAAAUGUUUUAUCAACAAAGGAAUUGUUAGGUGUUAAUCUCUGGUGUUUGAUUUUAGGUGAAAAAUCUGGUCACUGGCUGCUGUCUUUCUGCCUGGGAGUGCUGUGGCUACUUUGUUUAUCACACCAAAGUUGAUUUCGACCGAGCUUCUAGUAGAAAUUCUGAAUUGGUAUAAUGGCUCUUUCUUACAUUACAACUUACAAUACAAGAGUUUCUUACAGGAGUGAAACAAAACUAAAAAAAAAGAUUAAAGAAUAACGUUUGACAAAAUGAUUAAUGCAAAAUGAUCCAUUAAAGAAAAGAAUUGAUACAACAAUUUGAUUACUUAAUCAAUUAGUAGUAUCCCUGCCAUGAUUUUCAAAUCUUUUCUAUUUAGUAGUCUAAGUUUCUCGAUGAGGAUAAUUAAUUCGGUCGUUGUGGUCGGACUCUAUUAUGGAUUUCUACUACAUUCUCCAUAGGUCCCUCUUAGAUCUUCUUUCUCCAAUCUUGGAUUAGGGAAGAAGGAGAUAUUCGCGACUACUGGCGAUUUCAUUAUGGGGCAGCUCAUGAUCUUCAUAUCGAUCUAUUGUCCACCUCUGUAUCUAUUCUUUCUUAGCUAAACAGGUGGAAGAUCUAUCCAAUUUGGUUAUAUUAUAUCAUGGACUCGCAAAAACGGAUCUGAAUUUGACUGAAAUGCACGAUCUUCACAGGUAUCACUUUUCACGAUACCUAAAAGGUGGAAUAGCGAUUUUCGAACCAUUUCCUAUAAGAGAAUGGUUUCCAUUACUUUGAGAAAUGGAUUCUUGAGACCGGAAUUUCCAAUAGGAUGGCUUCGUUCUCGUUCCAAGAUGGUGACUUUGAAGACUUGAAGAAACUCUGCUGCGCUAUAGCUGAUGGCCUUGUUACCUAAGCCUGCACCGUAUGCAAGCAUCAACAAUGUGUGCAGCGGUUCAUUAUGUAAAAUCACCCAGAAUGUUACUGCAACUAUAAACAUAUCGUGUAUCAUGCUCUCCCAUUCCCCGUGUUUGGCGUGUUAUGCAUAAAUACUAUGAAACAUAUGUCUGAAGACAUCCGGGUUGAUGAAUAAAGCUUGCUGUUCUCCUCAUGAAUCAAUCUCUGAAUAUUUGCAAGGAUUGUGCAAUGAUAUUUCAGCUACUACAUUUGUAGUUUACAGAAUCAACUUUGCAGCAUUUCUG
RNAcentral lists this long non-coding RNA (3669 nucleotides) under Triticum aestivum (bread wheat). RNAcentral describes it as "long non-coding RNA (TAES_LNC008420)". Lineage: Eukaryota; Viridiplantae; Streptophyta; Magnoliopsida; Poales; Poaceae. The record is from RNAcentral.